GUUGUGUUAUAUGUUUUAUUUUAUGUGAAUUGAGGCGUCUUAUUAUCACAGACCAAUAAUAACAAAUAAACUAUAAAUACUACCAGUAAACAUAUACAUAUCAAGAUCUCUACUUCUAUAUUUAAAGUCACAAAACAGCAGAAUUCUACAAUGUAAACAAAAUGAUGAACUUUUUAAUAUGACUCCUGCAAAUACAUUCGGUUUGUGAGUUUUAUAGGGGUUAGUAAAUUUCAUAGGGGUUCGUGUCGUCAUGUCUACUGUUAAUGAUGACGUCAUCUAUUAAUGUUGUUGUGUUUCAUUGUUUAUUUUUCAAAUAAACAGCAGAAAAAUUCCAGCGUGCAUAAAUUUGUUAUACAGUUAAUUACUGACCCCUACUGACCAUAGAGGGUGAAUAAAAUCAAAAGGGGAUUCAGCCUCCAGCCUCACCCCCUAUGGAUUUUACUAACCCUCUAUGGAUCGGUUGGGGGUCAGUAGCAAACCAUUAUACUUACAGUACAAAAUUUUAUCUGACAAUUGUCACAGAUUCGUCCUCAACUUCAAAGACAUUUUCACAUCUGGUUUUUCACAUUACAGAAUUUUUUACAAAAAUUCCAAGGAUUUUUCUAAGAUUUCUUCAAGACCUAUUUUCAAGGAUUGUAUUGAAUAAGAUAUGGCAGGAAGAAACUAUCAUUUACUCUUACUUCUACUGAAUGACUUUGGUUUAAACUCUAAAAAUGGUCUUCGUCAGGACAAUGUCAUUCUUAUUGAAUAAAAGCUUUUGGAACUGAAGGAAAUUGUACUUCAUAUAUAAAAAAAAAAAACAAGCUAAAUUCUAAGUAAACAAGCUACAAAUAAACUAUAAAAAAAACUUCAUACAAUUAACAUAAAACAACG
This 873-nucleotide long non-coding RNA is filed under the name Mytilus galloprovincialis (Mediterranean mussel). The record is from RNAcentral. Lineage: Eukaryota; Metazoa; Mollusca; Bivalvia; Mytilida; Mytilidae.